This 447-nucleotide ribosomal RNA is filed under the name uncultured bacterium. RNAcentral's name for it is "bacterial SSU rRNA". It matches the Rfam family "Bacterial small subunit ribosomal RNA", at positions 355 to 825 of the family's 1533-position model. The record is from RNAcentral.
UCGGGAAUUUUGGGCAAUGGGCGAAAGCCUGACCCAGCAACGCCGCGUGAAGGAUGAAGUAUUUCGGUAUGUAAACUUCGAAAGAAUAGGAAGAAUAAAUGACGGUACUAUUUAUAAGGUCCGGCUAACUACGUGCCAGCAGCCGCGGUAAUACGUAGGGACCAAGCGUUGUUCGGAUUUACUGGGCGUAAAGGGCGCGUAGGCGGUUAUGCAAGACAGAUGUGAAAUCCCCGGGCUCAACCUGGGAACUGCAUUUGUGACUGUAUAGCUAGAGUACGGUAGAGGGGGAUGGAAUUCCGCGUGUAGCAGUGAAAUGCGUAGAUAUGCGGAGGAACACCGAUGGCGAAGGCAAUCCCCUGGACCUGUACUGACGCUCAUGCACGAAAGCGUGGGGAGCAAACAGGAUUAGAUACCCCCGUAGUCCCUGAGCGGGCUGGCAAGGCGCAU